This 443-nucleotide ribosomal RNA is filed under the name uncultured bacterium. Its description in RNAcentral is "partial 16S ribosomal RNA". It matches the Rfam family "Bacterial small subunit ribosomal RNA", at positions 338 to 795 of the family's 1533-position model. The record is from RNAcentral.
CCUACGGGUGGCAGCAGUGGGGAAUAUUGGGCAAUGGGCGCAAGCCUGACCCAGCAACGCCGCGUGAAGGAAGAAGGCUUUCGGGUUGUAAACUUCUUUUCUCAGGGACGAAGCAAGUGACGGUACCUGAGGAAUAAGCCACGGCUAACUACGUGCCAGCAGCCGCGGUAAUACGUAGGUGGCAAGCGUUAUCCGGAUUUACUGGGUGUAAAGGGCGUGUAGGCGGGAGCGCAAGUCAGAUGUGAAAUCUCAGGGCUCAACCCUGGGACUGCGUUUGAAACUGUGUUUCUUGAGUGCUGGAGAGGCAGUCGGAAUUCCGUGUGUAGCGGUGAAAUGCUUAGAUAUAACGAAGAACACCGAUGGCGAAGGCAGCUCACUGGAGCGCAACUGACACUGAAGCUCGAAAGUGUGGGUAUCAAACAGGAUUAGAUACCCUUGUAGUC